This 478-nucleotide ribosomal RNA is filed under the name uncultured bacterium. Its description in RNAcentral is "partial 16S ribosomal RNA". It matches the Rfam family "Bacterial small subunit ribosomal RNA", at positions 28 to 507 of the family's 1533-position model. The record is from RNAcentral.
GAUGAACGCUGGCGGCGUGCUUAACACAUGCAAGUCGAACGGGAAACCUUUUAAUGAAGCUUCGGCAGAUUUAGCUGGUUUCUAGUGGCGGACGGGUGAGUAACGCGUGGGUAACCUGCCUUAUACAGGGGGAUAACAGUCAGAAAUGACUGCUAAUACCGCAUAAGCGCACAGGACCGCAUGGUCCGGUGUGAAAAACUCCGGUGGUAUAAGAUGGACCCGCGUUGGAUUAGCUUGUUGGUGGGGUAACGGCUCACCAAGGCGACGAUCCAUAGCCGGCCUGAGAGGGUGAACGGCCACAUUGGGACUGAGACACGGCCCAGACUCCUACGGGAGGCAGCAGUGGGGAAUAUUGCACAAUGGGGGAAACCCUGAUGCAGCGACGCCGCGUGAAGGAAGAAGUAUCUCGGUAUGUAAACUUCUAUCAGCGGGGAAGAUAGUGACGGUACCUGACUAAGAAGCCCCGGCUAACUACGUG